Molecule: non-coding RNA, 78 nt
Organism: Podarcis lilfordi (Lilford's wall lizard)
Lineage: Eukaryota; Metazoa; Chordata; Lepidosauria; Squamata; Lacertidae
Source: the annotation of a GenBank genome assembly
CAUUCUGGAGAUCAGUCAGUUGGUAGAGCAUGUGACUCUUAUUCUCAUGGUCGUGGGUUCAAGCCCUAUGUUGGGUGA